AAAUGAAUAGACGGGGGCCCGCACAAGCGGCGGAGCAUGCGGAUUAAUUCGAUGCAACGCGAAGAACCUUACCAAGGCUUGACAUAUACGAGAACGCUCUGGAAACAGAGAACUCUUUGGACACUCGUAUACAGGUGGUGCAUGGUUGUCGUCAGCUCGUGUCGUGAGAUGUUGGGUUAAGUCCCGCAACGAGCGCAACCCUCGUCUUAUGUUGCCAGCGGUUCGGCCGGGGACUCAUAAGAGACUGCCGGGGUCAACUCGGAGGAAGGUGGGGAUGAGGUCAAAUCAUCAUGCCCCUUAUGUCUUGGGCUUCACGCAUGCUACAAUGGCCGGUACAAAGGGCAGCGAUACCGCGAGGUGGAGCGAAUCCCAAAAAGCCGGUCUCAGUUCGGAUUGAGGUCUGCAACUCGACCCCAUGAAGUCGGAGUCGCUAGUAAUCGUGAAUCAGCAACGUCACGGUGAAUACGUUCCCGGGCCUUGUACACACCGCCCGU
Molecule: ribosomal RNA, 494 nt
Filed under: uncultured bacterium
Lineage: Bacteria
Description: bacterial SSU rRNA
Rfam family: Bacterial small subunit ribosomal RNA
Source: RNAcentral